UGGGCCACCUGCCUGUAAGACUGGGAUAACUUCGGGAAACCGGAGCUAAUACCGGAUAAAACUUAUUACCACAUGGUGACAAGAUGAAAGGCGGCGUAAGCUGUCACUUACAGAUGGGCCCGCGGCGCAUUAGCUAGUUGGUGAGGUAACGGCUCACCAAGGCAACGAUGCGUAGCCGACCUGAGAGGGUGAUCGGCCACACUGGGACUGAGACACGGCCCAGACUCCUACGGGAGGCAGCAGUAGGGAAUCUUCCGCAAUGGACGAAAGUCUGACGGAGCAACGCCGCGUGAGUGAUGAAGGUUUUCGGAUCGUAAAACUCUGUUGUUAGGGAAGAACAAGUGCAAGAGUAACUGCUUGCACCUUGACGGUACCUAACCAGAAAGCCCCGGCUAACUACGUGCCAGCAGCCGCGGUAAUACGUAGGGGGCAAGCGUUGUCCGGAAUUAUUGGGCGUAAAGCGCGCGCAGGCGGUCCUUUAAGUCUGAUGUGAAAGCCCACGGCUUAACCGUGGAGGGUCAUUGGAAACUGGAGGACUUGAGUACAGAAGAGGAGAGUGGAAUUCCACGUGUAGCGGUGAAAUGCGUAGAGAUGUGGAGGAACACCAGU
This 609-nucleotide ribosomal RNA is filed under the name Ornithinibacillus sp. RNAcentral describes it as "bacterial SSU rRNA". It matches the Rfam family "Bacterial small subunit ribosomal RNA", at positions 118 to 713 of the family's 1533-position model. The record is from RNAcentral. Lineage: Bacteria; Bacillati; Bacillota; Bacilli; Caryophanales; Bacillaceae.